GAUGAACGCUGGCGGCGUGCCUAAUACAUGCAAGUCGAGCGAACAGAUGAGGAGCUUGCUCCUCUGACGUUAUCGGCGGACGGGUGAGUAACACGUGGAUAACCUACCUAUAAGACUGGGAUAACUUCGGGAAACCGUGUCUACUACCGGAUAAUAUAUUGAACCGCAUGGUUCAAUAGUGGAAGACGCUUUUGCUUUCGCUGAUAGAUUAAUCCGCGCCGCAUUAGCUAGUUGGUAAGGUAGCGGCUUACCAAGGCAACGAUGCGUAUCCGACCUGAAAGGGACAUCGGCCACACUGGAACUGAGACACGGUCCAGACUCCUACGGGAGGCAGCAGUCGGGAAUCUUCCGCAAUGCGCGAAAGCCUGACGGAGCAACGCCGCGUGAGUGAUGAAGGUCUUCGGCUCGUAGAACUCUGUUAUUAGGAAAGAACAAAUGCGUAAGUACCUAUGCACGUCUUGACGGUACCUAAACAGAAAGCCACGGCUAACUACGUG
This 497-nucleotide ribosomal RNA is filed under the name uncultured bacterium. Its description in RNAcentral is "partial 16S ribosomal RNA". It matches the Rfam family "Bacterial small subunit ribosomal RNA", at positions 28 to 507 of the family's 1533-position model. The record is from RNAcentral.